This 1061-nucleotide ribosomal RNA is filed under the name Edaphoallogromia australica. Its description in RNAcentral is "SSU rRNA". It matches the Rfam family "Eukaryotic small subunit ribosomal RNA", at positions 1160 to 1828 of the family's 1831-position model. Lineage: Eukaryota; Foraminifera; Allogromiidae. The record is from RNAcentral.
AAGGGCACCACAAGAACGCGUGGAGCAUGUGGCUUAAUUUGACUCAACGCGGGAAAUCUUACCAGGUCCAGAGGUACUGAGGAUUGACAGGUUGUUAUGAGGUUUUCUCUUUUUUCGGAAAGAUAAAAACUCAUAUUAAAUAUGCUAGUCCUUUCAUGAUUGUAUCAUAGGUGGUGCAUGGCCGUUCUUAGUUCGUGGAGUGAUCUGUCUGCUUAAUUGCGUUUCACUAAUUUUGGAGAUGUAACGAAUACUUUGUUUGCACACAAAGUCGCUGCUUUUAUACUUAUAUUCUUAUAAGUAUAUUUGCACCUUUGUUGUUGCACAGUAUUCUUAAACAUAUCUCCUGAAGGCAACGAACGUGACCGCAACAUCUUGUUGCUUUUUCUGUAAUUAAGUAAUUUAUUAUUUUUUUACUAUAUAAAAGCUAACUAGGUGGACCGCUGAACUAUUUCUAAACAGAGGAAGGUUGCGGCAAUAACAGGUCUGUGAUGCCCUUAGAUGUUCUGGGCUGCACACGUGCUACAAUGAUUAUUGCAGUAAGCAUCUAUUAUGAAAAAUAAUAAAAUUUAUUUUUUAUUAUUUGAGGAUAGUGAUUAUUUUUAAAAUUUAUACUUUUUGUAUAAAUUUUAAAAAGCUAUCCGUAUGACCUACUUCGAAGGUAAGUAGGUAAUCAAUUCGAAGUAAUGAUUUCCUUUUGCACAUCAUUAUGUUUCUUGUUUCUAGACUUUGUAGUUUUCUCUUCGGGGAAUUCUAUAAUGCUCUACCUUGAAACAUGUGCUCCAUUAAUUCAUGGUGGGGACAGACCAUUGUUAAUUGUUGGUCUCGGUCUCAACUAGGAAUGCCUUGUACGGGUCCUGGUUCAACAGACCACCCGGAAUAUGUCCCUGCCCUUUGUACACACCGCCCGUCGCUCUUACCGAUGGACUAUUCUGUGAGUUUACAGGAAAGGGUUGCCAGGAGCUUCGGCAAAUGGUAAUCUAUGUGAAUGUACACGAACAGUGUGGUCUAAAGGAAAGAGAAGUCGUAACAAGGCAUCAGUAGGUGAACCUGCAGAAGGAUCA